AGCAGGUCUGCUCGAUGGAUCUUGUGCAGGUCACAGUAGGUCAGGGCACGCACAUCCGCACUAGAUUUGCCUGGCCUGGCAUGGAGACUAACAGGCUCCCCAAAGAUGUCAUUCUUCCCUGCCAGCCAGAAGGAUGGUGGUCCCUCCAGGGUCUGGCUCCCUUACGAAGACCUUCUCUCAGGGCCCCUUGACUGUGAUCUUCCUACCUCCCACCUCGGAGAUCCCACAGAGCUGGGGCCUGGUGCUGAGGGGGUCUGAGGACAGGGCUGCAUGGGCUGGCUUUGAUGGGGAGGAGGAGGAGGAGGAGGGCCUUCACCAGUCCUCAGUUGCCUCAGAUCCCCUCGGAGUGCUCUUGCCCUGAGAAUACGGGUUCUCUUUUUGUUUCUUACCCUCAGAACCACCUUCCACCAGAAUGUCCUUUCAUUUUGUUUAUACUCUUUAGCACAGUUCCCAUUCUGGCCCAGGGUACAGGAGGCAGUCAAUGACACUAGAGGUUCCUUGCUCAGUUCCCUUUCGCUCCCUUGAGCCACUGACACUAGGGAGCAGACAACGGAGGACCCAAGGAUGGAAGCUUCCAGCUCCCCGGGCAGGACCUGGAGCUUCUGUUUUUGUCUUCUUACUCUCCACUGUACAAGCAGGGUACCAGCAUGGCCCUGGCAGGGCAACCCUGGGAAGCCAUCUCCCGUCUGCACUUGAGUGUCUUCUACCUUCAAAUGGGCAUAAUGAUGUCACCUACUCCACUGCUCUGUUUGCAGGGGCAGAGGUGGCCGUGUUUGAGAAAGUAUCCCUCAAAGCAAGAGGCCCUAGGCUAGGUCAAUGCAAGGCACAAGGAGAGAUGGAGGUCACAGGGUGGAUAUAGGGUAGAUAGUCAAGGUAUGUGACGCAAGCACUAGGUCCUUUCAGAGCCAAGGAGCUAUGCUGGCAAUGGGUUAUAAACAUGAGCAAGAGACUCUCCUAUUAGGAACCCUUCAAGUCCCUAAAAGGCAGGCACUUAAGUUGCCAAGGUCACAGAAUUAUCUGUCUUAGAACUGGAUGCCACCAAGAGCUCUGGACUAUGAAAGAGGGAGGGGUUCAUACUGCCUACCGUUGUUAGGACGAGGGGGCAGGGGCUUUCAGAAGGGGUACAAUCCCAAGAGAAUCAGGGGCUAGGCCCUCAGAAGGAAGGGAAUUUGGGCAUAAGAAACACAAUGUGGUCAUCCCUGCAUAGUCAAGGCUGAGGGAAGAGAGACCAGAGUCACAAGUGCCAUGGACCAUGGUUUCUUUGACUCCUACUGCCCCCAGGAAAGUCCAGCCUCCUCAGCCUCGUGGCACUGUACAAGGGACACUAAUAGUUUAGCACAGACAGAGGGAUAGACGGAGGCUAGGCAUGUACCACCAAGAGAACAGGAUGGAAGGGAGGGGACUGGGCCUAAGAGAAAGAAGGGACUUGCCAGGGUCACAUAUGGAACCCUGAACCUUGAUAUCUGGGCAAUGUAAUACCAACCCUCAUUUUUUUAACACAUGAAAAAUUGUGAUCUAAUGUCUAUUUCUACUCGGGACAAGAUGAGAGGAUUUCUUGUCUCUCACUGAAACUCAAAUUGGACCAGCUUCUUAAUUAUUAAUAUUCAUUAUCCCUCCCAUGCAGGUGGCAUUCGUAACACUGCUUGGAUGAAAGGAAAGGACUCAGGGGAGUCCAUGCUGUAGGCCAACCUGGAGAACGCCUGGGUCUGCCUGACAGGCACAGGGUAAGCUCUGAAGACAAAAUGGCAGUGUGAACAGAGGCACUGGAGUCACAGGGUGAUGAGACUAGUUGUCUAGCUGCAGCAUGAAGUCCCAGAGUAGGGAGCCUGGACUCACAGAGUGACUUGACUGGGUGGAACCGGGUUUACAUUUGUCCACAGGACAUAGGGACUUUUCAAAGGGUUCUGAGUGGGAGAGGAAUCCAUGCAGAUGUGUGUCGGUUGACUUUCAAAAGGCAGAAGAACUAAGGAUGUACCUAAUGCAAGGCCUCAGGACGGAGCUCCUCACAGCUGCCCAUGAGGACCAGACCCAGUGGAGGCUGGUGUAGAAAGCAGAUUUAUCAGCAAGGGAAACUGGAUGGGGGUAGAGGACCAGAAACUGUCAGGAUAUUCCUGCAGUUGUUAGCUUUAUCCCAGACAAUGGAAGGGCAGGGGACACUGAAGAGGCUGUCUUUGAGAGAAAGUAAUGGGGUCAAGUUGGGAUCUAUUGCACGUGGUCUGGCUUUUUUAAAUUUUAUUUUAUUUUAUUAUUUUGGACAGGGUCUCUUAGAGCCUAGACUAGCUUUGGGCAUGUAUCACCAUGCCUGAUUAAUGUAGUGCUGGAGAUCGAACCCAGGCCUUCAUGCAUGCUAGGCAGGCUCUCUGCUAACUGAGCCACAUUCCCAGAUGCCCACCUGUUUUGCUCUAAGGAGACAUUGGGGCUGGGGCCCAGCUCUGAGGAGUCUUGUGGCUCAGGCUGAGAGCAAUGGGCUGGCCCAGGCGAGGCUGUGGACAAGGGGCUGGCCCAGGUGGGGCUGUGAACAGAACAAGGGGCUGGCCCAGGCGAGGCUGUGGACAAGGGGCUGGCCCAGGCGAGGCUGUGGACAAGGGGCUGGCCCAGGUGAGGCUGUGCAGUGAGGUGAGAGCCGAGUGCUAGCCCUAGGUGACCAGCCACUGAGGGCAGGGUGAUGGACAGGAGUGGCCAGAGGGGGUUGGAAGAGAACCAGGUCAUGGAGACCAAGCUGAAGUCAGAGACUGGAGCCAAGGACAAGGACGAUGCAAAUAGAGGACCCUGAGGUACGUAAAGUCAACAGACUUGCCCAAGGUCACAUGACAGGCAAAGGGCUGUGUUAAGGAUUUUUUAAGCUAGGUAUAAAACUCUCUGGGGCCAGCAAGAUGGCUCAGUAAAUUAAAGGGCUUGUGGCCAAGCCUGACAACCUAAGUUUCAGUGCCUGACUGAACCCACAUGGUAGAAGAAGCAGAAAGGGCCAACUUGUUCUGUGACCUCCACCUGCUGCUGUGUUUCUGCCCACUGAACAAAACAAAACAAAACCAAAAAACCUUUAAGGGCUGGAGAGAUGGCUCAGCCAAUGGCUGCUCUUCCAGAGGACUUGGGUUCAAUUCCCGGAACCCGCCAGGCAGCGCACAACUGUCUGUAACUCCAGUUCCAGGGGAUUUGAUACCUUCACAUAGACAUAUAUGCAAGAAAAACUCCAAUGUACAUAAAAUACAAAUAAAUACAUCUUUAAAAAAACAAAACAAAACAACAAUAACACCAACAAGAAAAAAAAAAAACAA
Peromyscus californicus insignis is the source of this 3275-nucleotide long non-coding RNA. RefSeq lists it as uncharacterized. The record is from RefSeq and is a predicted model, not a curated record. NCBI's taxonomy places the organism in Eukaryota, Metazoa, Chordata, Mammalia, Rodentia, Cricetidae. The transcript is spliced from 2 exons.